This 359-nucleotide ribosomal RNA is filed under the name uncultured bacterium. RNAcentral's name for it is "bacterial SSU rRNA". It matches the Rfam family "Bacterial small subunit ribosomal RNA", at positions 498 to 858 of the family's 1533-position model. The record is from RNAcentral.
UAACUCCGUUCCAGCAGCCGCGGUAAUACGGAGGAUCCGAGCGUUAUCCGGAUUUAUUGGGUUUAAAGGGUACGUAGGCGGGACGUUUAAGUCAGCGGUGAAAUUUCGGAGCUUAACUUUGAGCUUGCCGUUGAAACUAUCGUUCUUGAGUGUAGAUGAGGUAGGCGGAAUGUGUUGUGUAGCGGUGAAAUGCAUAGAUAUAACACAGAACCCCGAUUGCGAAGGCAGCUUACCGGGCUAACACUGACGCUGAGGUACGACAGCGUGGGGAUCAAACAGGAUUAGAUACCCUGGUAGUCCACGCCGUAAACUAUGAAUACUCGCUGUUUGCGAUAUACAGCAAGCGGCCAAGCGAAAGC